RNAcentral lists this long non-coding RNA (3782 nucleotides) under Triticum aestivum (bread wheat). RNAcentral's name for it is "long non-coding RNA (TAES_LNC006906)". Lineage: Eukaryota; Viridiplantae; Streptophyta; Magnoliopsida; Poales; Poaceae. The record is from RNAcentral.
AAAACUAUAAAAUAAAAAUGUUGGCCUUUUAUUUUUAUUCUCAAUCGCCACGUAUCGUACUUUAAUUGUCCAAAAAGAAAAAUACACAUAGUCUCCAUUGAAAUGUGGUUUCAUUGGCAAUACAAACACAUGCAUGGUUGUAUAUAUUAGGUGUUUUCCGUUCUCCAGGCUAUCUCCUCGGCGCAAGGCCAUCCCAUAGAUCUUAAUUCUUCUAGCACGCAUCUCCGGCUUCAUGCUGUCGACAACAACUUCUACAACAUCUCUCAUCGUCCGCAACGGAUAGCACCUUCCCUCGCUCCCAUCACAAACGGGUCGCCGUCCUGUCCGAUCGGGUCUAAUCACAAAGGUUUGGACAAAUAGCUCUCCUGUACAGGUAACAAACACAUAAGCAUCCUCAUAGGUAUUCCUAACUAUCUCUUUGAUGUUGCAGCUCAAUGACGAAGUCUUCCAUGGCAUACAAAACCUUUUGUCAGAUCAAUACUAGCAGUAGAGGAAAGGAAUUAACAAUCAAGGCAAGAUUAACAAGAUUGGGAUUUCAUAUUGAUCGGUAAUGGUGAAAUACUUAGUCUACGCAUGGUCCUUAUUGAUGAAGAGGUAUUAUGGUUCCCUCAUAGAAAUUACAUCCUUUCUUGAUUUUUUUUAUAAUUUAGCUUCAAUCUACAUGCUAAUCUACAUGCAAAUUACAAAUACAAUUGAAGGGGACAAUGUUGCAUGGAGUUAUCAAUAAGGCACGUAUCAAAAAGUUAAGGUCAUUAAUUCAAGAAGGCAAUGUGUACCUCAUUAAAAAUGUGAGUCAUUCCAGCAGCAGCAAAAUCCUAUAUGAGAUGAUGAUUAACUUCUCACCCACAAGAAAUAUAGAGGAGACUGAACGAAGAUAAUGAAGACAUUCCAAAGCAUGGUUUCAACUUCUCAAGCGUGGAGGUACUCUCCCAAAGAGUAAGCAUUGACACUUAUCUCUUAGGUAUGAUAUCAAUGAACUUUUAAGAUACAAUAUGCCAUACUUCUUCAUGACAUGUAUAAAAUGCCAUCUGCAACACACAUAGGACCAAGUGAAGAAACUAAAACAUAUCUUGGGCCCUCCAGAAUCCAUGAUAUUUUCCUUCUAAUCGAGUAAGCCAAAAAAUACAUCUUAUUUGCAGCGAAGUUUCUCAAGUCAUGUCUUCAUGUUUUACUUUUUGUUGACAGAGACAGCUGAUCUAAUUGAUGUCAAGUCAAUAGGGAAUGUCAUUACAAGUACAUCGACAACAGUGAGGAAAUUUGGCAGUAUGUCUUCUUUCAAAUUUUAAUUACUUAUUUUAUUAUCUCUCUGUUUGGUUUUACAUAGGAAAAUGAUUAUUUGAACCACUAUGCAGGAUAUUCUCUAUCGUCAAAUAGUGCAACUCAAGUUUUUAUAAAUUUAGAUAUUCCUGAGAGUAUGGAUGUACAAAAUAGGUAAGCAAAAUUCCUACAAAUAUUGCCCAUUUAACGUCAAUGUCAGUACUACUUACCCUGGCUCAUAACUUUUUGUCUCCAAAUAACAUUUGUUCCAAAAAUAUAUCAAAGAACUACAUGUUUGAGGAGAACCAUCUAAAAGGGACACUGGAAGAGCAAAUGCGCUACAAUAGAAAAAUUUAGAAGAGUUAAAUGGCAUUCUGUUAGACUCAUCAAAUCAGGUUUGUAAUCCAGCGAUAAUAAUGAAUUGUUUUUUCCCACACAGAAGCAUAAAUAUAUUUAUAUUACUCUACAGGGAAGUAUAUUUACCAUGGAAGCAGUAAUUAAUGAUGUUAAUGCAAGAUAUGGUUGGUACUACAUAUCAUGCAGCGGAAAUAAUUGCAAGAAGCGACUUGAAAAGAGAAUUGAUUACUACUAUUGUACCAAAUGCGAUAGGAAAGCUCAACCCAAACCACGGUAAAAAAUUUAACAUAUCUCUAUCUUAAUAGUUUUAAUAGAAUAAUUUUUAAAUUAAUUCACUACAUAUUUUGCAGAUAUAAGAUUAAGCUUGAACUUAGUGACUCGAGAGUCUGCAUCUUGCGUUCUUUUUGAAAAAGAGGCCCAACAAUUAAAUCAUGAGUUAGCAGAAAACAUGGUUGCAUCAACAAUAGCUGGUCGAUGAGGUAAAUUCUUAUAUCAUGGGUAGAAUAGAAGGUGAAGAGGUAACCUAUCGAAGCUCAGAUAUAGUGUGCAAAGGAAUGUCAAAUUCAUAAGAUGGAGAUCAUUUGUACCCAACAGAAUUCCAGAAUAGCUUUAAGUGCCCUGGAAUACCAGACCACGAAAUACGGCUGAAAGUUGGACUGCCAGUUAUGCUGCUACGGAAUAUCAACCAAAGAGAAGGCUUAUACAAUGGUACGAGACUAACUAUAACACACCUAGGCAAAUGGUUCAUAGAAGCUCAAAUGAUGACAGGAACAAACAUUGGAAACAAGGUAUAUAUUCCAAGGUUUAUUAUGUCACCAAGUGACUCAAAAUGGCCAUUUGUGUCGAAAAGGAGGCAAUACCCAAUAUCAGUUUGUUUUGCAAUGACAAUAAAUAAGAGUCAAGGGUAGUCGCUAAAACAUGCGGGGCUAUAUUUACCAAAGCACGUCUUCACACAUGGUCAACUCUAUGUAGCAGUAUCAAGAGUCACAAGUAGAGAUGGACCUAAAGUUCUAAUUUCAGAUGAAGAAUCAAGGAAAAUAAUUCGGCAAAAAAUAUUGUGUACAAGGAGAUCCUUUAGUAAAGGGACCUUAGAAUAUUUCUAUUUUACUCUAUGUAACCUUCUUCAAAAGGAAAUCAUAUGGAUUUCAGACGAAUCAGGUAUUUCUGCGGACACACAUGACUAUGUUUGCCAAUUUGAUCUAGCACUAAAAAAAUCUGUGGUCUAUGCAUUGCAUAAUUAGUAUUAAAAAACUAGAUGAAUCAUGAAUCUGUACCUUCAGUUUACUAAGUAUUCACAGUUUGGAUCUCACGACUCAUGCCCUAAUCUGUCUCAUAGCUCUGACAUGAGCAUAAUAUAAUUGAAUGUGCAUCUGUCAAUACCAAAUAAAAGAUCCAUCAACAUCUCUUCCUUGGGCAUGAUUGAGCACGAAAUGGCAAGAUUGUCGUUUUCCUAUGUAAAUAUACUUGGAUGAUUUCAUUAAUGAUGAUUCAGGUCGUAUAGCCGACCAAGCAAGGGCUAGAUUUGAUUAUUAUUUUCGUAAUAUCCCAAGAUCAAUUCUGUCAAUAGCUGUGUGCUGUCAUUAAGCAUGGAGCGGUUGGUUCUUGAUUCCCACAUUAUAUGCCUAAAUGGUAACGAAUGUGGUCUGCUCUACAGGUAUUAUAGCGACCACAUAUUACAGGUUACAUCCUACAAAUUCAAACAAUUUAGCUCAGGCAAAAACAAACAAAAUAAGCUAACACAGGUGUACCGAUUCAGAUCAAAUAGUCUCCUUGAUGACUCCUCUACCACCCAUCUGUACACCACACAUACAUCAACUCAUUGCAGAUCUGCACAGAUCCAAAAGGGAAAUAAGGCAUCCCUCGAAGCAAGUUUCCAAUUCUUAAGAUACUACAUGCACAAAAUUAAAUGAUUUAACCACACCUGAUGUAUCCCAUAGUGGUUGCUUUGUAAGAUUUGUCGCUGAGAAAUUGAAGGACUGGGAACAAAAUGUAUGACCAGUGGUUGGAUCGAGGGUUUCAUUUUGGGGGAACGGCGAGUGGGGAGAGGGAGGGCAGUCGGCGCCGCGGGUGGGAUUGGAACUAGCGGUGACUCGGCGUCGCACCCCGGCGGAUUUCUGGAUCAAUCUUUGCCAUGGCUGAAGAUGUCCAUUUUUGGGAGAUGAGGGAAG